GGCAUUGCGUGCGCAUUCAUUACCAGUCCAAGGAUUUCUGGAAAAAGGACUAGCUGCAUUCCAUGAGGUGCAUCCCGAGAGAGAUCAUAAAAGGUACCUUUUGCACAUGAUUAAGGUAAAGGGUAUUUGUUCUUCACGGUUGAGGCGAUUUUGAUACUUGAACAGCCUCUUGACAGCAGAUUGCCCGUGAUGUUAUGUGGUGGAGAGAGCCAGAGAAGAGAAGCAAUGUUGAAAACCUAAUUCUACAUCUCAGAAAACAUGUAGGGUGAAAAGCCUCAAUUCCAUGACGUCCAGUUCCGUCUUGGUUCCAGCCUUUCGCAGGGUGUUAGUUCACUAGGUGCUAUGUACCAAAGGCGUUAUGCUUAUGCAAACACCGACAGGGCAUUCCACACAUGUCAAGUUAGCCGACAUCUAUCUUUGGCAAACCCAAGUGCCUCACCGUAUUUGUACAAGCACCAGCUUAGAAAGGAUUGGCCAGUUUUGCAAGGCGAUUUUCUUAUUGGAGGUGUCUUUGCUGCUGUCUCAAAACCUCAGUAAAUCUAAUGUAACCUAAGAAAGGAUUGGCAGUUUGGCUAGUUUUGUUGUUAAUUUGCACGUGUAACCUGCAAACUCAUUAAAGCUACUCACAUAAUCUGUAAAUUUAUGGAUCUGUAAAUAUAUUUUUUCUUUGAUGAAAUGAAUUUUAGUAUAAUACAAUAGAUAA
Long non-coding RNA from Papaver somniferum (opium poppy), 703 nucleotides. RefSeq lists it as uncharacterized. The record is from RefSeq and is a predicted model, not a curated record. Lineage: Eukaryota; Viridiplantae; Streptophyta; Magnoliopsida; Ranunculales; Papaveraceae. The transcript has 3 exons.